UACGGAGGGUGCAAGCGUUAAUCGGAAUUACUGGGCGUAAAGCGUGCGCAGGCGGCUUUGCAAGACAGAUGUGAAAUCCCCGGGCUCAACCUGGGAACUGCAUUUGUGACUGCAAGGCUGGAGUACGGCAGAGGGGGAUGGAAUUCCGCGUGUAGCAGUGAAAUGCGUAGAUAUGCGGAGGAACACCGAUGGCGAAGGCAAUCCCCUGGGCCUGUACUGACGCUCAUGCACGAAAGCGUGGGGAGCAAACAGG
Molecule: ribosomal RNA, 253 nt
Filed under: uncultured bacterium
Lineage: Bacteria
Description: partial 16S ribosomal RNA
Rfam family: Bacterial small subunit ribosomal RNA
Source: RNAcentral